CCUACGGGCGGCAGCAGUGGGGAAUAUUGCACAAUGGGGGAAACCCUGAUGCAGCGACGCCGCGUGAGUGAAGAAGUAUUUCGGUAUGUAAAGCUCUAUCAGCAGGGAAGAAGCAAGACGGUACCUGACUAAGAAGCCCCGGCUAACUACGUGCCAGCAGCCGCGGUAAUACGUAGGGGGCAAGCGUUAUCCGGAUUUACUGGGUGGAAAGGGAGCGUAGACGGUAUGGCAAGUCUGAAGUGAAAGCCCAGGGCUUAACCCUGGGACUGCUUUGGAAACUGUUAGACUAGAGUGCUGGAGAGGUAGUGGAAUUCCUAGUGUAGCGGUGAAAUGCGUAGAUAUUAGGAGGAACACCAGUGGCGAAGGCGGCUUACUGGACAGUAACUGACGUUGAGGCUCGAAAGCGUGGGGAGCAAACAGGAUUAGAUACCCGUGUAGUC
Molecule: ribosomal RNA, 440 nt
Filed under: uncultured bacterium
Lineage: Bacteria
Description: partial 16S ribosomal RNA
Rfam family: Bacterial small subunit ribosomal RNA
Source: RNAcentral